Molecule: long non-coding RNA, 205 nt
Filed under: Mytilus galloprovincialis (Mediterranean mussel)
Lineage: Eukaryota; Metazoa; Mollusca; Bivalvia; Mytilida; Mytilidae
Source: RNAcentral
CUGGUUUGUGCUUGCGUCCGCCAGUCUGUCCCGCUUCAGGUUAAAAUUUUUGGUCGAGGUAGCUUUUGAUGAAGUUGAAGUCCAAUCAACUUGAAACUUAGUAUACUUGUUCCCUAUGAUAUGAUUUUUCUAAUUUUAACCCAAUUUCACGGUCCAUUGAACAUGGAAAAUGAUUAUGCGAGUGGGGCAUCCGUGUACUUAGGAC